CGGAUUGAAGGCUGAAAUUCGCCUUCAUGAAGCCGGAAUUGCUAGUAAUGGCAGGUCAGAAUACUGCCGUGAAUACGUUCCCGGGCCUUGUACACACCGCCCGUCACACCAUGAGAGUUGGGAAUACCCGAAGCCUGUGAGCUAACCGUAAGGGAGCAGCAGUCGAAGGUAGAAUCAAUGAUUGGGGUGAAGUCGUAACAAGGUAAC
This 207-nucleotide ribosomal RNA is filed under the name uncultured bacterium. Its description in RNAcentral is "partial 16S ribosomal RNA". It matches the Rfam family "Bacterial small subunit ribosomal RNA", at positions 1294 to 1500 of the family's 1533-position model. The record is from RNAcentral.